RNA transcript from Sapajus apella (tufted capuchin), 401 nucleotides. It is a transcript of the gene named thioredoxin pseudogene, with no coding region annotated. The transcript has a single exon. Lineage: Eukaryota; Metazoa; Chordata; Mammalia; Primates; Cebidae. The record is from RefSeq and is a predicted model, not a curated record.
GGUUCGGUGCUUUGGAUCCGUUUCCAUCGGUCUUAACAGCUGCUCGUCAGACCCUAGCAGCCAAGAUGGUCAAGCAGAUCGACAGCAAGGAUGCUUUUCAGGAAGCCUUGGAUGCCGCAGAUGUGGAUGACUGUCAGGAUGUUGCUUCAGAGUGUGAAGUCAAAUGCAUGCCAACAUUCCAGUUUUUUAAGAAGGGACAAAAGGUGGGUGAAUUUUCUGGAGCCAAUAAGGAAAAGCUUGAAGCCACCAUUAAUGAAUUAGUCUAGUCAUGUUUUCUGAAAACAUAACCAGCAGUGGCUAUUUAAAACUUGUCUUUUUUUUAAUUUACAAAAAAUGUAAAGUAUAAAGACUAUAAAUCCAAUUGCCAUCUGGGUGACAAUAAAUCAUUAAUUCUCACACUU